This 72-nucleotide transfer RNA is filed under the name Sus scrofa (pig). It matches the Rfam family "tRNA". From Rfam's summary of the family: Transfer RNA (tRNA) molecules are approximately 80 nucleotides in length. Their secondary structure includes four short double-helical elements and three loops (D, anti-codon, and T loops). Lineage: Eukaryota; Metazoa; Chordata; Mammalia; Artiodactyla; Suidae. The record is from Rfam by way of RNAcentral.
UCCCUGGUGGUCUAGUGGUUAAGACGCAGAGCUUUCACUGCUAUACCCUGGGUUCAAUCCCUGGUCUAGGAA